Chiloscyllium plagiosum (whitespotted bambooshark) is the source of this 287-nucleotide non-coding RNA. NCBI's taxonomy places the organism in Eukaryota, Metazoa, Chordata, Chondrichthyes, Orectolobiformes, Hemiscylliidae. The record is from RefSeq and is a predicted model, not a curated record.
AUUUCAACAACAUGUUGAUUGUUAACGACUGCAAGUAACGUCUGCUUAGAAAGUUAGUAAUUAUAUAGUCCAGUCUUGUCGACUCCGUAGAUCACUUGGGGAUGACUGGAACACACAUUUAUCCCUUCAUAAGUGUAAACCCGCCUAGGAGAAACAUCUAAGGACUAUGUCCAAAUUCCCAAAGUAGGAAAACGGAGGACUCGGAAGCUUUGAAAGAACAACAGAGGAUUACUAAGAAGGAAAUACGCAGAGAAAAAAUGAGGUACGAAGGUAAACUGGCCAAAAAU